RNAcentral lists this ribosomal RNA (477 nucleotides) under uncultured bacterium. Its description in RNAcentral is "partial 16S ribosomal RNA". It matches the Rfam family "Bacterial small subunit ribosomal RNA", at positions 28 to 507 of the family's 1533-position model. The record is from RNAcentral.
GAUUAACGCUGGCGGCGUGCAUAACACAUGCAAGUCGAACGAUGAAACUUUAAUGAACCCUUCGGGGAGAAUUAAAGCGGAUUAGUGGCGACCGGGUGAGUAACGCGUGAGUAACCUGCCUUACACAAGGGGAUAGCCUUUGGAAACGAAGAAUAAUACCCUAUAAAACCAUAAAAGCACAUGCAAUUAUGGUCAAAGUGAUAGCGGUGUAAGAUGGACUUGCGUCUGAUUAGCUAGUUGGUGAGAUAAAAGCCCACCAAGGCAACGAUCAGUAGCCGGCUUGAGAGAGUGUACGGCCACAUUGGGACUGAGACACGGCCCAGACUCCUACGGGAGGCAGCAGUGGGGAAUUUUGCACAAUGGGGGAAACCCUGAUGCAGCGACGCCGCGUGAUUUAGAAGGCCUUCGGGUUGUAAAAAUCUUUUGUAUAGGAAGAAAAUGACAGUACUAUACGAAUAAGGUCCGGCUAAUUACGUG